CAGUCCCAGAGGAAAGGCCUGUCCUCCAAGCCAAUGUGCAGCCUGACUCUGGGGCCAGCGCCUGAGGAAGCCCUCCCUGAGCCCCAGCCCUGGGGAAGGCUGAAGAGGCCUCUGAGCUCCCAGCGCUGGGGAGCGCUGUGCAGAAUAGGACUGGAGGCAGUUUGGGGUUUCAGCAGGUGGCCCAGUGCUGAGACACAAGGGAGUUGUUUCUGGUCUGCAGACACUGAGGACACUUGCUAUGUGGCGUGGUGGAUGGUGGCUUCCAAUUGUGGACAAGAUAAGGACCAUUGCCCAGGCUGUCUAUGGAGCCAAAGAUAUCGAACUCUGUCCUGAGGCACAAGUCAAAAUAGAUCGUUACACUCAGCAGGGUUUUGGAAAUUUGCCCAUCUGCAUGGCAAAGACCGAUCUUUCUCUGUCUCACCAACCUGACAAAAAAGGUGUGCCAAGGGACUUCAUCUUACCUAUCAGUGAUGUCCGGGCCAGCAUAGGUGCUGGGUUCAUUUACCCUUUGGUCGGAACGUCUCGCUCUGUUGCCCAGGCUAAAGUGCAGUGGCAUGAUCUCGGCUCACUGCAACCUCCACCUCCCGGGUUCACACCAUUCUCCUGCCUCAGCCUCCCAAGUAGCAGGGACUACAGGCACCCGCCACCACACCUGGCUAACUUUUUGUAUUUUUAGUGGAGACAGAGAUGACCCAAAUUCUUAACUGCCUCAUAAAUACUGUUAAUAUAUUGAAAGUUUUGCCCUAGGCUUUUAUUAAAGUCAACUAUAU
Homo sapiens (human) is the source of this 770-nucleotide RNA transcript. It is a transcript of the gene named methylenetetrahydrofolate dehydrogenase (NADP+ dependent) 1 like pseudogene, with no coding region annotated. The transcript is spliced from 5 exons. Lineage: Eukaryota; Metazoa; Chordata; Mammalia; Primates; Hominidae. The record is from RefSeq and is marked validated.